AUGCACGCUGGCGGCGUGCCUCAUCCCUGCCAGUCGAGCGAACGGACGAGAAGCUUGCUUCUCUGAUGUUAGCGGCGGACGGGUGAGUAACACGUGGAUAACCUACCUAUAAGACUGGGAUAACUUCGGGAAACCGUAGCUAAUACCGGAUGAUAUUUUGAACCGCAUGGUUCAAAAGUGAAAGACGGUCUUGCUGUCACUUAUAGAUGGAUCCGCGCUGCAUUAGCUAGUUGGUAAGGUAACGGCUUACCAAGGCAACGAUGCAUAGCCGACCUGAGAGGGUGAUCGGCCACACUGGAACUGAGACACGGUCCAGACUCCUACGGGAGGCAGCAGUAGGGAAUCUUCCGCAAUGGGCGAAAGCCUGACGGAGCAACGCCGCGUGAGUGAUGAAGGUCUUCGGAUCGUAAAACUCUGUUAUUAGGGAAGAACAUAUGUGUAAGUAACUGUGCACAUCUUGACGGUACCUAAUCAGAAAGCCACGGCUAACUACGUG
This 496-nucleotide ribosomal RNA is filed under the name uncultured bacterium. Its description in RNAcentral is "partial 16S ribosomal RNA". It matches the Rfam family "Bacterial small subunit ribosomal RNA", at positions 29 to 507 of the family's 1533-position model. The record is from RNAcentral.